UAUAUACUCUCUCCGUCCCAUAUUAAGUGACUCAAUUUUUCCCAAAUAUGGAUGUAUCUAUAUCCCAAAAACGUCUUGAUACAUGUAAUAUUUCGUCACUUAAUAUGGGACGGAGGGAGUAGAAA
Brachypodium distachyon (stiff brome) is the source of this 125-nucleotide non-coding RNA. The record is from Rfam. Lineage: Eukaryota; Viridiplantae; Streptophyta; Magnoliopsida; Poales; Poaceae.